AUGAUGACUCUCGGCAACGGAUAUCUCGGCUCUCGCAUCGAUGAAGAAUGUAGCGAAAUGCGAUACCUGGUGUGAAUUGCAGAAUCCCGUGAACCAUCGAGUCUUUGAAUGCAAGUUGCGCCCGAGGCCACCCGGUCGAGGGCACGCCUGCCUGGGCAUCACGC
Molecule: ribosomal RNA, 164 nt
Filed under: Pinanga arinasae
Lineage: Eukaryota; Viridiplantae; Streptophyta; Magnoliopsida; Arecales; Arecaceae
Description: 5.8S rRNA
Rfam family: 5.8S ribosomal RNA
About the family: 5.8S ribosomal RNA (5.8S rRNA) is a component of the large subunit of the eukaryotic ribosome. It is transcribed by RNA polymerase I as part of the 45S precursor that also contains 18S and 28S rRNA. Functionally, it is thought that 5.8S rRNA may be involved in ribosome translocation.
Source: RNAcentral